CCAAUUGAGCGUGCUGCUCGUGCUGGCAGCUCGUGCCGUCGAAAUAUAACAUCGCCGAUCGAUCAGAGUCAGUCGGUCAUUCAGUCAUUCAGUCACUUAGUCACUCAGUCAUUUGAUCAGUCGAGCUCUGAAUUCGUUAUGUCUAUGACUUCUGCAGACCCCAUUGGUCCCCUAUUGACACUCCACCCCCGCCCAACGCGAAUCGCCUGUUUAUCUUUGGCAGUCGAGCCUACUUGAGUGCCGGGCCAAUCCAUGGCAGCGAGUCAAUAACACUUGGGAAAUUGACCAAGUCCCCCCCAAAGUUCUUAUCACAAGGAGCGUGACUGUUCCGCCGCCGCAGGUUUUUGCCCCUUGCCGCCGUCUUAUCAUGAGAUCCAAAACCCGUGCUCGCCACGGUUGUACACAUAUGGCAUACAUGUAUAUAUCAUAUAUUUCGAAAUGUAGGGGGACGUCAGCCGCCCUUAUCAGGCAAAUAUAUAUAUAUAUAUA
Drosophila simulans is the source of this 489-nucleotide long non-coding RNA. RefSeq lists it as uncharacterized. The record is from RefSeq and is a predicted model, not a curated record. The transcript has 2 exons. Lineage: Eukaryota; Metazoa; Arthropoda; Insecta; Diptera; Drosophilidae.